CGCAGGGUGGAGGAGCCAGGUCGUCCUCGCCGGUCUCAUAAGCCGGAAGCCGCGGGUUCGAAUCCCGCCCCUGCUCCCA
Molecule: transfer RNA, 79 nt
Filed under: Paractinoplanes abujensis
Lineage: Bacteria; Bacillati; Actinomycetota; Actinomycetes; Micromonosporales; Micromonosporaceae
Description: tRNA-Met
Rfam family: tRNA
About the family: Transfer RNA (tRNA) molecules are approximately 80 nucleotides in length. Their secondary structure includes four short double-helical elements and three loops (D, anti-codon, and T loops).
Source: RNAcentral